CCCUUAGAUGUUCUGGGCCGCACGCGUGCUACACUGAGUAAAUCAAUGGGUAAGGGAACACGAAAGUGCAACCUAAUCUUGAAAUUUGCUCGUGAUGGGGAUCGACGGUUGCAAUUUUCCGUCGUGAACGAGGAAUACCUUGUAGGCGCGUGUCAUCAUCACGCGCCGAAUACGUCCCUGCCCUUUGUACACACCGCCCGUCGCUCCUACCGAUUGGGUGUGCUGGUGAAAUGUUCGGAUCGGCCGUUUGUCGCGGUUUCCGCGUCAUGUGGCUGAGAAGUUCAUUAAACCCCCCCACCUAGAGGAAGGAGAAGUCGUAACA
RNAcentral lists this ribosomal RNA (322 nucleotides) under uncultured eukaryote. RNAcentral describes it as "partial 18S ribosomal RNA". It matches the Rfam family "Eukaryotic small subunit ribosomal RNA", at positions 1470 to 1796 of the family's 1831-position model. The record is from RNAcentral.